GGACUACACGGGUAUCUAAUCCUGUUUGCUCCCCACGCUUUCGCACCUCAGCGUCAGUACCGGACCAGUGAGCCGCCUUCGCCACUGGUGUUCUUCCUAAUAUCUACGAAUUUCACCUCUACACUAGGAAUUCCACUCACCUCUUCCGGACUCGAGAUUGCCAGUAUCAAAGGCAGUUCCGAGGUUGAGCCUCGGGAUUUCACCCCUGACUUAACAAUCCGCCUACGUGCGCUUUACGCCCAGUAAUUCCGAACAACGCUAGUCCCCUCCGUAUUACCGCGGCUGCUGGCAC
This 292-nucleotide ribosomal RNA is filed under the name uncultured bacterium. RNAcentral's name for it is "partial 16S ribosomal RNA". The record is from RNAcentral.